This 310-nucleotide unclassified non-coding RNA is filed under the name plant metagenome. RNAcentral's name for it is "partial contains 5.8S ribosomal RNA, internal transcribed spacer 2, and large subunit ribosomal RNA". The stretch from base 1 to 105 matches the Rfam family "5.8S ribosomal RNA", at positions 50 to 154 of the family's 154-position model. The record is from RNAcentral.
GAAAUGCGAUAAGUAGUGUGAAUUGCAGAAUUCAGUGAAUCAUCGAAUCUUUGAAUGCACAUUGCGCCCCUCGGUAUUCCGUGGGGCAUGCCUGUUCGAGCGUCAUCUACACCCUCAAGCUCUGCUUGGUGUUGGGCGUCUGUCCCGCCUCCUUCGCGCGCGGACUCGCCCCAAAUCCAUUGGCGGCGGCCCUUGCCUCCCUCUCGCGCAGCACAUUGCGCUUCUCGAGGCGCGGCGGACCGCGUCCAGCAAGCAACCGUCACACCGUCUUUGACCUCGGAUCAGGUAGGGAUACACGCUGAACUUAAGC